This 54-nucleotide transfer RNA is filed under the name Oxalis obtriangulata. RNAcentral describes it as "partial tRNA-Leu". Lineage: Eukaryota; Viridiplantae; Streptophyta; Magnoliopsida; Oxalidales; Oxalidaceae. The record is from RNAcentral.
UUAAUUGGAUUGAGCCUUGGUAUGGAAAAUCCGUCGACUUUAGAAAUCGUGAGC